Molecule: signal recognition particle RNA, 270 nt
Filed under: Candidatus Woesearchaeota archaeon
Lineage: Archaea; Nanobdellati; Candidatus Woesearchaeota
Description: signal recognition particle sRNA
Rfam family: Archaeal signal recognition particle RNA
Source: RNAcentral
GGGAGAGCUAGGCUGGCGCGCUAGUCCUGCGUUGUUACCGUGAACGGACUUCACACGGAGCCGAAGCCCAAAGAAGGGUCAGAGUUGUUUUACAGACCCCUAUCCACUUCGACGACGGUUUGUCCAAAGGGAUGAACUUGUUGGGAAUCAGGUCAGGUCCGGAAGGAAGCAGCCUUAACCAGUAAUCUUCAUGUUCUUUGGGUUGCAAGCCCGAGAGGUCUUAGGGAACAAGUUUGUGAAGCUUCUUUGCUUCGACCGAGGGUAUGCCCC